CAAGUAACCCCUCCGUCCGGAAUUACUUGUCAUCAAAAUGGAUGUGUCUAGAACUCAAAUAUAUCUAGAUACAUCCAUUUCAAUGACAAGUAUUUUCGAACGGAGGGAGUACAAG
Molecule: non-coding RNA, 115 nt
Organism: Triticum urartu
Lineage: Eukaryota; Viridiplantae; Streptophyta; Magnoliopsida; Poales; Poaceae
Source: Rfam